RNAcentral lists this microRNA precursor (77 nucleotides) under Bombyx mori (domestic silkworm). RNAcentral's name for it is "mir-2807 microRNA precursor family". It matches the Rfam family "mir-2807 microRNA precursor family". Lineage: Eukaryota; Metazoa; Arthropoda; Insecta; Lepidoptera; Bombycidae. The record is from Rfam by way of RNAcentral.
UUAACUCAAAUUUAUAUGUAGUUGGAACGUUUGCCUACGUUUGCCGCUAGGGGCGCUGUACAUACAAAUUUGAGUUA